Molecule: ribosomal RNA, 824 nt
Filed under: uncultured Bacteroidota bacterium
Lineage: Bacteria; Pseudomonadati; Bacteroidota
Description: bacterial SSU rRNA
Rfam family: Bacterial small subunit ribosomal RNA
Source: RNAcentral
UUUUGGUUCGGAAUAACCCCGGGAAACUGGGGCUAAUACCGGAUGGUUCCUUCGGGAUAAAGAUUUAUCGCCAAAAGAUGAGUCCGCGUACGAUUAGCUAGUUGGUGAGGUAAUGGCUCACCAAGGCGACGAUCGUUAGCUGGUCUGAGAGGACGAUCAGCCACACUGGGACUGAGACACGGUCCAGACUCCUACGGGAGGCAGCAGUGGGGAAUUUUGGACAAUGGGGGAAACCCUGAUCCAGCGACGCCGCGUGUGGGAUGAAUGGGUUAUGCCCUGUAAACCACUGUCAGCAGAGAAGAAAAGGUUCCUUUGGAACCCGGGACUGUAUCUGCAGAGGAAGGACCGGCUAACUACGUGCCAGCAGCCGCGGUAAUACGUAGGGUCCAAGCGUUAUCCGGAAUUACUGGGUAUAAAGGGUGCGUAGGCGGCCUUGUGCGUCGAAGAUUAAAGGCCAUGGCUCAACCAUGGAAAUGCCCUCGAUACGGCAAGGCUUGAGUAUGAGAGAGGAAGAUGGAAUUCCUGGUGUAGCAGUGAAAUGCGUAGAUAUCAGGAGGAACACCGGUGGCGAAGGCGGUCUUCUGGCUCAUUACUGACGCUGAGGCACGAAAGUGUGGGGAGCGAACAGGAUUAGAUACCCUGGUAGUCCACACCGUAAACGAUGUAUGCUUGGUGUUAGAACAAAUUGUUGUUCUAGUGCCGGAGAUAAUUCGUUAAGCAUACCACCUGGGAAGUACGAUCGCAAGUUGAAACUCAAAGGAAUUGACGGGGCCCGCACAAGCGGUGGAUUAUGUGGUUUAAUUCGAUGCACGCGAGACCUUACC